Molecule: non-coding RNA, 45 nt
Filed under: Trichobilharzia regenti
Lineage: Eukaryota; Metazoa; Platyhelminthes; Trematoda; Strigeidida; Schistosomatidae
Source: RNAcentral
UUUUAGCCGACGAGUCUCAAAUAGAACGAGAUGCGCAUCCUGGAU